This 1000-nucleotide ribosomal RNA is filed under the name Bacillus tequilensis. Its description in RNAcentral is "bacterial SSU rRNA". It matches the Rfam family "Bacterial small subunit ribosomal RNA", at positions 37 to 1019 of the family's 1533-position model. Lineage: Bacteria; Bacillati; Bacillota; Bacilli; Caryophanales; Bacillaceae. The record is from RNAcentral.
UGGCUAUGGGGGGUGCUAUACAUGCAAGUCGAGCGGACAGAUGGGAGCUUGCUCCCUGAUGUUAGCGGCGGACGGGUGAGUAACACGUGGGUAACCUGCCUGUAAGACUGGGAUAACUCCGGGAAACCGGGGCUAAUACCGGAUGGUUGUUUGAACCGCAUGGUUCAAACAUAAAAGGUGGCUUCGGCUACCACUUACAGAUGGACCCGCGGCGCAUUAGCUAGUUGGUGAGGUAAUGGCUCACCAAGGCAACGAUGCGUAGCCGACCUGAGAGGGUGAUCGGCCACACUGGGACUGAGACACGGCCCAGACUCCUACGGGAGGCAGCAGUAGGGAAUCUUCCGCAAUGGACGAAAGUCUGACGGAGCAACGCCGCGUGAGUGAUGAAGGUUUUCGGAUCGUAAAGCUCUGUUGUUAGGGAAGAACAAGUACCGUUCGAAUAGGGCGGUACCUUGACGGUACCUAACCAGAAAGCCACGGCUAACUACGUGCCAGCAGCCGCGGUAAUACGUAGGUGGCAAGCGUUGUCCGGAAUUAUUGGGCGUAAAGGGCUCGCAGGCGGUUUCUUAAGUCUGAUGUGAAAGCCCCCGGCUCAACCGGGGAGGGUCAUUGGAAACUGGGGAACUUGAGUGCAGAAGAGGAGAGUGGAAUUCCACGUGUAGCGGUGAAAUGCGUAGAGAUGUGGAGGAACACCAGUGGCGAAAGCGACUCUCUGGUCUGUAACUGACGCUGAGGAGCGAAAGCGUGGGGAGCGAACAGGAUUAGAUACCCUGGUAGUCCACGCCGUAAACGAUGAGUGCUAAGUGUUAAGGGGGUUUCCGCCCCUUAGUGCUGCAGCUAACGCAUUAAGCACUCCGCCUGGGGGAGUACGGGUCGCAAGACUGAAACUCAAAGGAAUUGACGGGGCCCGCACAAGCGGUGGAGCAUGUGGUUUAAUUCGAGCAACGCGAGAACUUACCAGGUCUGACAUCUCUGACAUCCUAGAGAUAGUACGUCCCCU